RNAcentral lists this long non-coding RNA (208 nucleotides) under Lathyrus oleraceus (garden pea). RNAcentral's name for it is "Pisum sativum (pea) long non-coding RNA (PSAT_LNC017519)". The record is from RNAcentral. Lineage: Eukaryota; Viridiplantae; Streptophyta; Magnoliopsida; Fabales; Fabaceae.
UUGUCUCCCCUUACCUUAUAUUUUUCUAGCAAAAUUCUUCCAAGCUCUAUCAUUGGAUGCUCUCCAUAUGUUUUCUCUUCCCCUAGCCUCCUUUUCUUCUUUUCUCCCAAAAAUUAUGCGUACUCUUUAACUCUCUCCUUUUAAUUCUCUUUUUAUACUAAAAACUUAAUCUCCUCAUUAGAUUAUUCUUACUUUACCCUUACUUUUC